GAGGAAAGUCCGGGCUCCAUGGGCAGGGCGCCAGGUAACGCCUGGGGGGCGCGAGCCUACGGAGAGUGCCACAGAAAAUAUACCGCCGGGUCCGCCCGGUAAGGGUGAAAUGGUGCGGUAAGAGCGCACCGCGCAGGUGGUAACACGCUGCGGCAGGGUAAACCCCGCCUGGAGCAAGACCGAAUAGGGGAGUGUCAAGUGUGCCCGCACGAGCUCCCGGGUAGGUCGCUAGAGGUCGUUCGGUGACGGCGAUCCCAGAUGAAUGACUGUCCUCGACAGSSCCCGGCUUAU
RNAcentral lists this RNase P RNA (291 nucleotides) under unidentified bacterium SM-A59. RNAcentral describes it as "partial RNAase P". It matches the Rfam family "Bacterial RNase P class A", at positions 43 to 352 of the family's 367-position model. Rfam says of the family: Ribonuclease P (RNase P) is a ubiquitous endoribonuclease, found in archaea, bacteria and eukarya as well as chloroplasts and mitochondria. The record is from RNAcentral.